Molecule: ribosomal RNA, 414 nt
Filed under: uncultured microorganism
Description: bacterial SSU rRNA
Rfam family: Archaeal small subunit ribosomal RNA
Source: RNAcentral
CAGCCGCCGCGGUAAUACCGGCGGCCCGAGUGGCGGUCACUAUUAUUGGGCUUAAAGCGUCCGUAGCCGGGUUGGGAAGUCCUCCGGGAAAUCUGGCCGCUUAACGGUCAGAAUGCCGGAGGAUACUCCCAGCCUAGGGAGCGGGAGAGGCCGAGGGUAUUCCCGGAGUAGGGGUGAAAUCCUAUAAUCCCGGGAGGGCCACCUGUGGCGAAGGCGCUCGGCCGGAACGCGUCCGACGGUGAGGGACGAAGGCCAGGGGAGCAAACCGGAUUAGAUACCCGGGUAGUCCUGGCUGUAAACGAUGCGGACUUUGUGUCGGACAAGCUAUGAGCUUGUCCGGUGCCGGAGGGAAACCGUUAAGUCCGCCGCCUGGGGAGUACGGCCGCAAGGCUGAAACUUAAAGGAAUUGGCGGG